UAGAGUGAUCGAAAGAUGAAAAGCACUUUGGAAAGAGAGUCAAACAGCACGUGAAAUUGUUGAAAGGGAAGCGCUUGCAGCCAGACUUGCUUGCAGUUGCUCAUCCGGGCUUUUGCCCGGUGCACUCUUCUGUAGGCAGGCCAGCAUCAGUUUGGGCGGUAGGAUAAAGGUCUCUGUCACGUACCUCUCUUCGGGGAGGCCUUAUAGGGGAGACGACAUACUACCAGCCUGGACUGAGGUCCGCGCAUCUGCUAGGAUGCUGGCGUAAUGGCUGUAAGCGGCCCGUCUUGAAACACGGACCAAGGAGUCUAACAUCUAUGCGAGUGUUUGGGUGUCAAGCCCGAGCGCGUAAUGAAAGUGAACGGAGGUGGGAACCCGCAAGGGUGCACCAUCGACCGAUCCUGAUGUCUUCGGAAGGAUUUGAGUAAGAGCAUGGCUGUUGGGACCCGAAAGAUGGUGAACUAUGCUUGAAUAGGGUGAAGCCAGAGGAAACUCUGGUGGAGGCUCGCAGCGGUUCUGACGUGCAAAUCGAUCGUCAA
Molecule: ribosomal RNA, 539 nt
Filed under: Alternaria sp.
Lineage: Eukaryota; Fungi; Ascomycota; Dothideomycetes; Pleosporales; Pleosporaceae
Description: LSU rRNA
Rfam family: Eukaryotic large subunit ribosomal RNA
Source: RNAcentral